UGUUUCAGACCUUCACAAUGCACAGUCAUUAAAACCAAACAGGAUCCCGCGAGCCACAGAGGUUGAUCAUUAUUUUCAUGGAAAAUCGUAAUGUCAAUAUGGAUGAAGGAAACGCCUCAGAAAAUUACUUACGAGAGCCAAUCUUGCGACUGAUAAAAUGCGAAGUCGAAAACGUCGGCGAUUGUGAACACACAGCGAUUGAACAUAAACAUAUAACUGUUCCUCUGCUGACAAAAAUUAAAACAGAAAUUGAUGAAGACAGGAAUCCACUUGCAGGUUUAGCAAAUAUACCCCCAGUUACAUUUGAUUUGGUCAUGAAAAAAGAAACUGAAAGUGAACAGCCAAAUCGAGGGGACAAACAUCCCGUCCAUCAGUCAAAAAUCAGGGUGAAAGAAGAGUUAAUGAAGAACGACACUGACGAGGAUCUAGGAAGCUCUCCUCAAGAAAUUGAAGUUUCACAGAUGCGACAGAAUUCAGUGGCCCUCCUCAGGAUACUUGAUCAGGAACCACCAUUACACGACCAUUCACGUGUGAUAGAAGCUGCCCAAAGUGUUGUUCAUCCUGAUCAUUUGAAUGACAUUUUACCAGACCAACGUAAAUUGGUUGUUCUUCUCAAGAAACUUGACCCAAAACUGUUACACAACCAUCCAAGGGUACCAGAAGCAACUUUAAAUGCCAAUCAUUCUAUUCUAAACUCUCAGACAAAAAAGGAGGUAAGGAGUUGUUUGAUUGUAACUUACAUUAUGAGAAUAAAUUUGAAAACUCCUUGCAACUGUCAGUCAUGGCAUGAAUCAGUAAAAAUUGAAGGGAAAUGUUGAUGAGGUAUUAUGGGUCUGUUGCAUCCAAGAGAUACAACCAAGCAAAGAGGCGUUCUUGGUUCUAUCAGUAAAUUCACAUGAAAUUUAUCAUGGGCACAUUUAAAAAGUCUGGAAAUGACUCUUUGGUGCACAAUUUGUGUAGUUUUCCACACGUUUUUUUAAAUUUUCUGCGGCCGAGGGCAGUGCUACAUAGUCGCCAGCAACCCGAUCUGAUUUCCCCAGAAAAAGACGUGAAAAAAACCUGACUCAAUUAAACAAAUGAUAUUGUAACUUUUUUCUCGAGUACCACGUUUCCACCUUAUUUUUUGGUUCAGCAAAAAAAAAGAGAAAAACAAGAUGUUAAUUAAUAAAUUGAAAUCAUGCUCAAUAUUUGACCUAUAUCGCACACUUUGUCUCUCUAUAAAGCCUGAAGAGCGAUACUUAACAACUUGCAAAGAGGCGUGUUAAAAUUUAUAGCUAAUUUCUAAACGUUUCAGGGUCCUGUCAUGGAUUCUUUCAUUUCUUCUCUCGGCGAUUCGGCCCUAAAAUACCCCAAAACCGAGCGACAGAUUAAGAACCCUCGUGAAUCAUUGGAAAAAAGACGUGUAAAUUCCAAACGACAUAAGAAUUUCAACCAACAGCAGAAAAGAGAAAUUGUAUCAAACCAGGAUGAAAGCACCACUCCCAGUCUCACCAUAUUUCUCAAACUGCGUACCGUGCUAGAAGACGUUUGAAUACCCACCAGUAUCCGGCAAGGGAUCUGAGUAUAUACAAUAACCAACCCAGCGAGAACAAAGAGGCAAGAAAGCCUCGUCUUUGAAGACAUUACACUUGGAUUCUCAGAGCGAGAAAGUCUCGUCAUUGAAGAAAUUACACUUGGAUUCUCAGAGCGAGAAAGUCUCUUCAUUGAAGACAUUACGCAUGGAUUCUCAGAGCGAGAACAUGGGACGUGAAACAGGUGAAACGAAGCAACCUGCAUCUUUGCCCUCUAAUUUGUGUUUACAGUCUUCUUCACAACUGAAAACGAACCCCUCUACUAAAAACGAUGAUCGAUCUGAUUGUUCCCGCAAUUUCUCAGAAAAAUGUAUGCAAGAACAUGAUUCGAUGAAACACGUCACGUUGGCCCAUGAUAAUGACCGACCGCAUUCGUUUGAUCCACCUGAAUACGAACUCGCAAUGCGAAAUGAUACAGAUGACCGAUAUUUUAUUUGCGAUUAUUGUCAAUAUAAGUCCAGAUUUAAAGGCAAUUUGAAGAAGCACAUUUCCCGUAUCCACAUUUUGGAUGAUCUAUCUUUCUCUUGUGGUCAUUGUGCGAAGACAUUUUGCUCAAAAGAAUAUUUGGCUAGGCAUAUUGCCCGUAAUCACAGUCAAGAUCUACCGCUCUCUCGUGAUAUUUGUACACGUAAAUUUAAAAAUAAAGGUUCUUUGCGGAGCCACGUUUCGCUCAUUCACUGCGACGAUCGGCCGUUCCAUUGCAGUAUUUGUACAUGUAAAUUUAAAUCUAAUUAUAGUUUGUGUAGCCAUAUCUUGCAUGUGCAUAUAGAACCGAUCGCUCUCGCUCUUGUGGACAUUGUGCUAAACAAAUUAAGACGAAAACAGCUCUAAAGACACAUACCACAUGCAUCCACAACCACGAUCGACCUUAUUUCUACGGUAUUUGUACAGGUAAAUUUGGAACGAAAACAAAUUUGAAGAGACACGUCUUGCAAACCCAUAGUGAUGAUCGGUCUUUCUUCUGCAGUAUUCGUAUCAGUAAAUUUAAAGCGAAUGAUUCUUUGCGGCGGCAUGUCCUGCGUUUUCACAGAAGCGAUCGCCUUUUUUAUUCUAGUGAAAUGUGCAACACAGUUUAAAUCGAAAGUUGAAGUCACAUAUGCACCCGCAGCAAUGAUAAACUGUUCAUGAUUGUAAUUUUCUAUCUGGAUCUAAAAGGAAUACUUAUUUGAAAGCACAUGCCGAACGCACAUUCACAUCACUUAUGGACCUUACUCUAGUGGUGAUACCGUGCUAUAAGGAUAUUUUAAACAAAAUAAUAUUUAAAGUCACUCAUUGCUCACGUGCGUAAUGAGGAUAGAUUAUUCUCAUGUAGUAUGUGAACGCGUAAAUUUAAAAAAACGAAUCAUAAAUUGAAGGAGCACGUCUAUCGUGUUCACAGCAACGAUCACGCUAAUUGUGUUAACAGCAUCGAUCACGCCUAUUGUGUACACAGCAACGAUGGACUUAUUCUUGGUGUCCCUGUCUAAGAAUAUUUUUUUUAAUUGACAAAGCGUUUCAGCACAUGAUAGAAGUCAAGUAAUUACAUUUUUUUAAAAUUUUGUUUACUCUAUUGAGACGAAAUUCAUUUCUAUUGUGCAGACGCGUUUCGAGCGAGCGGAUCAUCAUCGGGGACUCCGGGUGACACAUCGGUGAAUCGCACCAAUGAUGAGCCGUUCACUCGGAUCACGUCUGCACAACGCAAAUGAAUUUCGUCUCAAGUGAGUAAUUUUGAAAAAUUCAAUUACUUGACCUGCGCAAGAAGAUUAACUUGAGGGAUAUUUUAAAGUAAAAAAUUUCGUACUUUUACAACAAUAAUUGAGUGGCACUUGUUUUCAUAAUAAUUUCAAACGAGAGUUAUUUUUCGGGCAUACGUCGUUACCUUCCAUUGAGUACAUAGAGUUGUAAUGUGAAUGUGAAUUACCCUUGUUACUAUUUCAAAAUAAAAUCUUCUCGCUGGCAUACUCAAGAAUAUUUCUGCCUAAAUCGAGUCACUUUUUUCUCUAACGAAAUUCAAAAAUUAUGCUAAACGUUAUUAAAUACGAAUGCUAGGACUUCGUGGGUUUUUGGACUACCGCUCUCUUUUUGUGCCGUGGUAUCUUGAUUUAUUUUGCGAGGACCCUUAAAGGAUGCCUGUCAUUCUUGAUACGUUGGAGAGCCUUCAAUUUUGUAUGAUGCUGUGCAACACCUCUGUUGCGAAAUAGUUGCUUGAAGCGUCGCAGGGCGACCAGCGCGACACGCGCACUGGCGCCUUCAAACCUAACAGAGAUACCGCACGCAUUGCGCAAUGCGUGAGGUAUCCAGUUAGGUUUGUAGGCGCCAGUGCGCGUUUCCCGCCGGUAGCAUGCCGCACCGCUCUGUGUGAGGUUCUACUAUUUAAACUCAGGGAGUCAGCGUUUUUCAACUCGUUAUUUUGAAAUGUUGGACACUCUGCAUUGAUUAUUCUCAUUUAAAUUGAUGGGAAAAAAAUGUUUUAAAGGAAAAUACAAUGUGUAUUUUGUAAAUAUUAAGGUGGUGCCGUAUCAAAUUUAAUGAAUUCAUAAGCACUGUAGUUUUAAGCGUGCCAGUAGGGCUCGCUUUUUGAAAUCACUCGGAUGUACCAUAGUACAGCACACCGAUUAACCAAUG
Molecule: long non-coding RNA, 4175 nt
Filed under: Bemisia tabaci
Lineage: Eukaryota; Metazoa; Arthropoda; Insecta; Hemiptera; Aleyrodidae
Description: lncRNA ENSSSA2NGG008004
Source: RNAcentral